Molecule: ribosomal RNA, 95 nt
Organism: Ochotona princeps (American pika)
Lineage: Eukaryota; Metazoa; Chordata; Mammalia; Lagomorpha; Ochotonidae
Source: Ensembl
GCAUACCACCCUGAACUCGCCCGAUCUCGUCUGAUCUCGGAAGCUAAGCAGGGUCGGGCCUGGUUAGUACUUGGAUGGGAGAAAAGCUAGUUGCC